CCUGCGAUUGCUUAGACUCGUUUGAUAAAAAAGAGAACUUGGGUGCUACCGCUGCAAUCAUUCAUAAUGAUUACUUUUGUUAUAUUUUGAAGCUUGGACUCUGAAGUGACAAAGAAAUGAACUUGUUGAACAGAAACGUGAGAAAGAGAGCAGAACAACUGGUAUUGAAGCAAUAAUAAACUCAAUGGACGUGGAUCAAGUGCUGGCUGGUGAUGGUAGCGCUUUGAAAGAACCUGAGUCAUCUGGUGCACCCCAGGAGCCGUGAUUUCCAGCAGUGUUGGAAGAGGACUGCAUCACUCAUAUGAUGCAUUCAUGUUACAGAUCUGUAGUCUUGCUAAGCCUAGAACCUUUUUGAGUAUUAUUAAUCUGGGGGAGGGAAAAGGGCUGAAGCAUUAUAUUCAUCAUUUGGUUGCUUAACGCUUCAUUUAUUGCAACAUUUAUAUCAUUUUUGCAAUUGUUUUGUUUGGUUUGGUUUUCUUUUAUGACAGAAGACAUUCAUUGUUUGUGGUUUGGGGGACGUGUUUUUCUAGUGGAACCAGCACUUUUCCAUACAGCUGUAUUUCUGUAGAUGACUAUGAGGUGAGCUAUGAAAUAUGCAUCAUAGUCCUUGAUAUUGUAGCAUUAUUUUUCCAUUUUGUGGACAGGACAAGCAGUCUUGUGAACAUCUUAAUCCUUAGCUUUAUAUACAAAUAGUAACAACCAGCAACAUACAUGAGGAUAUACUUUUUUCUGUAACCAUCACUUCCCAUUAAGGAAGGAACACAAACUAUUCCAAAAAGCUGCCAGAACAAAUAAGUCAACUGAUGUGUCUUUCUUUGUGACUGUAUCAUGUAACUGUGCAUAGAAAAUGUGCUGAAUAGACUGGGAUGACAGACAUUCCUUUUAGGCAAACACAUCCAUAACCUUAUGUUGAUAGUUACAGAAAAUGUGGCCUUCAUCCAGCAUGUCAGGUUAUAUGUUUGCUGUGAAUUUAUUAUGUAAAGGCUGUUGUUAGGAGUGUUUGGGUCUUGUUUAGGUUGGGGUAGGGGGUUGUUUGUUAUUUGUUUUCUGUUCUCUCAUUUUUGUGGGGAGAAGAUAAGCAAGAUUAGAAUAACAGUUGCUUUGCCAGUUAAAAGAAAAAUACAAAUUGAGUUGAUUUGCUCAGUCAGUUACUUCUGCUCAGUGUAAAUAAUGAAGUGGUCAUUGAAGACAUUGUCACAUUCACAUCACACAGUGACUUCAAGCUUUGAAAAGCUCUUUGUAUUGCUUUUCCUUAAUCUCAUUAGCAUUCCAUUUGUGCUGCUUUUCGUUCUGUGUAACUUGUCAGUUAUUUGCUUGAGACUGUGUGUGUGUACACGUAGGUGCACGAUAGUUUGCACUGGUGCAUACACAUUUUCAUGUAUAUAGAGGUAACAGCGUCUAUUACUACUAAUGUCUAUUAAUAUUGCAUUUUAUGCAGUCAAGUCCAAAAAGCACACUGCUGAUCUUAUAUUUUUGGCAAGGAAGAGUGGGGGAGGGUUGCAUGUGGUCACAAAACUGGUACCAUGGACACAGGGUGCUGACAACAGAAUUUUGUACAUUUCACUCAUACCAGAUCUUACAUCUUUCCCCUCUCAAAUUUUUUAAUGUUUUUUUUUUUUUUUUUUGGAAUGUUUUGUACUUAAGAGUGGCACUUUAAUCAACUUACAGUUUAGAAAACAAGAUUUCUGUUGAAUAAU
Molecule: long non-coding RNA, 1697 nt
Filed under: Pomacea canaliculata
Lineage: Eukaryota; Metazoa; Mollusca; Gastropoda; Architaenioglossa; Ampullariidae
Description: uncharacterized LOC112558475
Source: RNAcentral